AACCCGACUCCAUGAAGCUGGAUUCGCUAGUAAUCGCGCAUCAGCCACGGCGCGGUGAAUACGUUCCCGGGCCUUGUACACACCGCCCGUCAAGCCAUGGAAGCCGGGAGUGCCUGAAGUGCGUGACCGCAAGGAGCGUCCUAAGGCAAUACCGGUGACUGGGGCUAAGUCGUAACAAGGUAAC
This 184-nucleotide ribosomal RNA is filed under the name uncultured bacterium. Its description in RNAcentral is "partial 16S ribosomal RNA". It matches the Rfam family "Bacterial small subunit ribosomal RNA", at positions 1309 to 1500 of the family's 1533-position model. The record is from RNAcentral.